UUUAGUUUGCUGUGAUAAAGUGAAAAUGCCUCCUGUUGUGUGCGAAGAUUCUGAGUUUUUUGAAGCAAUGGAACAAAUGAGUGGACCUGAGAAAAAGGUUGAUAUUGCUGUUUUCAAUUAUAUUAUUAAACAAAAAGACGAAAUUAUAAAGGAGCUAAGGGAUCGUGUAAAAACGCAAAGUGAGAUGAUAGACAUUUUGAUAAAAAGUUCGAACAACUUGGGAGGCUCCACUGAUUGUAGUUUAUCAUCAAUGGACGCUUUUUCGAGUAAGAUUAUGAAUAAAAACGUGAGUGGUGUGGAAGCAAGAAAAGUGGUAAACAAAAGUGAACCUGAAAUACGGAACACUAUUAUUUAUCCUAAUACGAAUUCAUGUAAUGAAGUUGAUCUAAAUAAUUCUUCAGACAAUGGUAAAAAUCCUUCUGAGAAGGAGGUAACAGGUGAUACUUUAAAACGUCGGCCGAAAGUUCGUCAGAUUUGUCAUCGAGUGAUCAUGAUUUC
Long non-coding RNA from Zophobas morio, 498 nucleotides. RefSeq lists it as uncharacterized. The record is from RefSeq and is a predicted model, not a curated record. Lineage: Eukaryota; Metazoa; Arthropoda; Insecta; Coleoptera; Tenebrionidae. The transcript is spliced from 2 exons.